GACGAACGCUGGCGGCGUGCUUAACACAUGCAAGUCGAGCGGAAAGGCCCUGCUUUUGUGGGGUGCUCGAGUGGCGAACGGGUGAGUAACACGUGAGUAACCUGCCCUUGACUUUGGGAUAACUUCAGGAAACUGGGGCUAAUACCGGAUAGGAGCUCCUGCUGCAUGGUGGGGGUUGGAAAGUUUCGGCGGUUGGGGAUGGACUCGCGGCUUAUCAGCUUGUUGGUGGGGUAGUGGCUUACCAAGGCUUUGACGGGUAGCCGGCCUGAGAGGGUGACCGGCCACAUUGGGACUGAGAUACGGCCCAGACUCCUGCGGGAGGCAGCAGUGGGGAAUAUUGCACGAUGGGCGGAAGCCUGAUGCAGCAACGCCGCGUGCGGGAUGACGGCCUUCGGGUUGUAAACCGCUUUCGCCUGUGACGAAGCGUGAGUGACGGUAAUGGGUAAAGAAGCACCGGCUAACUACGUG
This 468-nucleotide ribosomal RNA is filed under the name uncultured bacterium. RNAcentral's name for it is "partial 16S ribosomal RNA". It matches the Rfam family "Bacterial small subunit ribosomal RNA", at positions 28 to 507 of the family's 1533-position model. The record is from RNAcentral.